UACAGAGGUCCCAAGCGUUGUUCGGAUUCACUGGGCGUAAAGGGUGCGUAGGCGGUGAGGUAAGUUUGACGUGAAAUCUCCGGGCUCAACCCGGAACUGCGUUGAAUACUAUCUCGCUAGAGGAGUGGAGGGAGACGUGGAAUGACUUGGUGUAGCAGUGAAAUGACGUAGAUAUCAAGUGGAACAGCCAGUGGCGAAGGCGAGUCUCUGGACAUUUCCUGACGCUGAGGCACGAAAGCCAGGGGAGCAAACGGG
RNAcentral lists this ribosomal RNA (255 nucleotides) under uncultured bacterium. Its description in RNAcentral is "partial 16S ribosomal RNA". It matches the Rfam family "Bacterial small subunit ribosomal RNA", at positions 524 to 776 of the family's 1533-position model. The record is from RNAcentral.